UACGAAGGGUGUAAGCGUUGCCCGGAUUUAUUGGGCGUAAAGUGUUUCGCAGGCGGCCUUAAAAGUUGUCUUUUAAAGCCCACGGCUCAACCGUGGACAGGGAGGCAAUACUGUAAGGCUUUGAAGAAUGUUGGGGUUACUGGAACUGUCGGUGUAGGGGUGAAAUCCGUUGAUAUCGACAGGAACUCCGAAGGCGAAGGCGAGUAACUAAGCAUUUCUUGACGCUCAGGAACGAAAGCUAGGGGAGCGAAAGGG
RNAcentral lists this unclassified non-coding RNA (255 nucleotides) under uncultured Patescibacteria group bacterium. RNAcentral describes it as "contains 16S-23S intergenic spacer region". It matches the Rfam family "Bacterial small subunit ribosomal RNA", at positions 524 to 776 of the family's 1533-position model. The record is from RNAcentral.